Molecule: ribosomal RNA, 546 nt
Filed under: uncultured rumen bacterium
Lineage: Bacteria
Description: bacterial SSU rRNA
Rfam family: Bacterial small subunit ribosomal RNA
Source: RNAcentral
GCAGGCUUAACACAUGCAAGUCGAGGGGUAACGCGAGGUAGCAAUACUUUGGCGACGACCGGCGCACGGGUGCGUAACGCGUAUGCAACCUACCUGUAACAGGGGCAUAACGGAGAGAAAUUUCCACUAAUUCCCCAUAUAGUCAGAGAAUCGCAUGAUUUUCUGACGAAAGCUUCGGUGGUUACGGAUGGGCAUGCGUGACAUUAGCUAGUUGGUAAGGUAACGGCUUACCAAGGCGACGAUGUCUAGGGGAGCUGAGAGGCUUAUCCCCCACACUGGUACUGAGACACGGACCAGACUCCUACGGGAGGCAGCAGUGAGGAAUAUUGGUCAAUGGACGGAAGUCUGAACCAGCCAUGCCGCGUGGAGGAAGAAGGUCCUAUGGGUUGUAAACUCCUUUUGUUCCGGAGUAAUAAGGGGCAUGCGUGCCCCGAUGAGAGUACGGGACGAAUAAGCAUCGGCUAACUCCGUGCCAGCAGCCGCGGUAAUACGGAGGAUGCGAGCGUNAUCCGGAUUUAUUGGGUUUAAAGGGUGCGCAGGCGGCGC